This 301-nucleotide ribosomal RNA is filed under the name uncultured bacterium. RNAcentral's name for it is "partial 16S ribosomal RNA". It matches the Rfam family "Bacterial small subunit ribosomal RNA", at positions 509 to 807 of the family's 1533-position model. The record is from RNAcentral.
CAGCCGCCACGGUAAUACAGAGGGUGCGAGCGUUAAUCGGAUUUACUGGGCGUAAAGCGUGCGUAGGCUGCUUCUUAAGUCGGAUGUGAAAUCCCUGAGCUUAACUUAGGAAUUGCAUUCGAUACUGGGAAGCUAGAGUAUGGGAGAGGAUGGUAGAAUUCCAGGUGUAGCGGUGAAAUGCGUAGAGAUCUGGAGGAAUACCGAUGGCGAAGGCAGCCAUCUGGCCUAAUACUGACGCUGAGGUACGAAAGCAUGGGGAGCAAACAGGAUUAGAUACCCGCGUAGUCCCUGUCUCUUAUAC